AGGACGAACGCUGGCGGCGUGCCUAACACAUGCAAGUCAAGCGAGGAGAUCCUUCGGGAUGAUCCUAGCGGCGGACGGGUGAGUAACACGUGGGCAACCUGCCUCAUAGAGAGGAAUAGCCUUCCGAAAGGGAGAUUAAUACCUCAUAACAUUGCAGUUUCGCAUGGAACAGCAAUUAAAGGAGUAAUCCGCUAUGAGAUGGGCCCGCGGCGCAUUAGCUAGUUGGUGAGGUAACGGCUCACCAAGGCGACGAUGCGUAGCCGACCUGAGAGGGUGAUCGGCCACAUUGGGACUGAGACUCGGCCCAGACUCCUACGGGAGGCAGCAGUGGGGAAUAUUGCACAAUGGGGGAAACCCUGAUGCAGCAACGCCGCGUGAGUGAUGACGGCCUUCGGGUUGUAAAGCUCUGUCUUCAGGGACGAUAAUGACGGUACCUGAGGAGGAAGCCACGGCUAACUACGUGCCAGCCGCCGC
Molecule: ribosomal RNA, 474 nt
Filed under: uncultured bacterium
Lineage: Bacteria
Description: bacterial SSU rRNA
Rfam family: Bacterial small subunit ribosomal RNA
Source: RNAcentral